GACCAGUUGGGUCUGUCGAGUCUCAUAAAGAAGAGGAGGUCUGGUUCAUCAAACAUCUCCAUCAAAGCGGUAGGGCUUGGGAGAGGCCAAAGAAUUCGUGGCAUUCAGUGGUCUUAUUUACUGGAAUUCGUUAGUAUGCAUUUUGUUGCUCAUGUUCGACUUGAAGCAAACAGGAAGCUUUCUCCAUUAGAAGGAAUUAAAUUGAUGAAGGUAGCACAUACUUUGAUAACUGCCAAAGAUGCAAGCCUGGCUAAGUAGUCACACGUGAAAUGGCCGUGCUCAACUCUGGACUUAUAUAGAUGAGAUAGCUCAUUUCGAGAGCAUAUAUCGUGGCUUAUUCGAUCCAUUUAUAUUAAAUUUGGAUGUUGAAGUGAUUAGAUGUAAUUGUAAA
RNAcentral lists this long non-coding RNA (391 nucleotides) under Oryza sativa aus subgroup. RNAcentral's name for it is "lncRNA OsNaBo_11g0020850". The record is from RNAcentral. Lineage: Eukaryota; Viridiplantae; Streptophyta; Magnoliopsida; Poales; Poaceae.